This 245-nucleotide ribosomal RNA is filed under the name uncultured bacterium. RNAcentral describes it as "partial 16S ribosomal RNA". It matches the Rfam family "Bacterial small subunit ribosomal RNA", at positions 524 to 768 of the family's 1533-position model. The record is from RNAcentral.
AACGUAGGGGGCUAGCGUUGUUCGGAAUUACUGGGCGUAAAGCGCGUGUAGGCGGCUUGGCAAGUCGGAAGUGAAAGCCCCAGGCUCAACUUGGGAAUUGCUUUCGAAACUGCCUAGCUUGAGUGCGGGAGGGGAGAGCGGAAUUCCAGGUGUAGCGGUGAAAUGCGUAGAUAUCUGGAGGAACACCGGUGGCGAAGGCGGCUCUCUGGACCGUAACUGACGCUGAGACGCGAAAGCGUGGGUAG